GUGGGGAAUAUUGGACAAUGGGCGCAAGCCUGAUCCAGCCAUGCCGCGUGAGUGAUGAAGGCCCUAGGGUUGUAAAGCUCUUUCAGUGGGGACGAUAAUGACGGUACCCACAGAAGAAGCCCCGGCUAACUUCGUGCCAGCAGCCGCGGUAAUUCGAAGGGGGCUAGCGUUGUUCGGAUUUACUGGGCGUAAAGCGCACGUAGGCGGAUCGUUAAGUCGAGGGUGAAAUCCUGGAGGUCAACUCCAGAACUGCCUUCGAUACUGGCGAUCUUGAGUCCGGAAGAGGUGAGUGGAACUCCUGGUGUAGCGGUGGAAUUCGUAGAUAUUAGGAAGAACACCAGUGGCGAAGGCGGCUCACUGGUCCGGUACUGACGCUGAGGUGCGAAAGCGUGGGGAGCAAACAGGAUUAGAUACCCCUGUAGUCC
This 425-nucleotide ribosomal RNA is filed under the name uncultured bacterium. RNAcentral's name for it is "partial 16S ribosomal RNA". It matches the Rfam family "Bacterial small subunit ribosomal RNA", at positions 354 to 796 of the family's 1533-position model. The record is from RNAcentral.